Molecule: ribosomal RNA, 253 nt
Filed under: uncultured bacterium
Lineage: Bacteria
Description: partial 16S ribosomal RNA
Rfam family: Bacterial small subunit ribosomal RNA
Source: RNAcentral
GACGAGGGAUGCAAGUGUUAUUCGGAAUUAUUGGGCGUAAAGCGUCUGUGGGUUGAUUUUUAAGUCUUUUGUUAAAUAUAUAAGAUCAAUUUAUAACAUGCAAAAGAAACUAUUAAUCUAGAGUAUAAAGGAAGUAAAGGGAAUUUCCGGUGAAGUAGUGAAAUGCGUAGAUAUCGGAAAGAACACCGAAGGCGAAAGCACUUUACUAUAUUAUAACUGACACUAAGAGACGAAAGUUGAGGUAGCAAAAGGG